UUUUCUUCGGAGAGUUUGAUCCUGGCUCAGGACGAACGCUGGCGGCGUGCCUAAUACAUGCAAGUCGAGCGGACCUCUUCGGAGGCAGGACGAACGCUGGCGGCGUGCCUAAUACAUGCAAGUCGAGCGGACCUCUUCGGAG
RNAcentral lists this ribosomal RNA (142 nucleotides) under Metabacillus indicus LMG 22858. RNAcentral describes it as "Bacillus indicus LMG 22858 partial 16S ribosomal RNA". It matches the Rfam family "Bacterial small subunit ribosomal RNA", at positions 1 to 156 of the family's 1533-position model. The record is from RNAcentral. Lineage: Bacteria; Bacillati; Bacillota; Bacilli; Caryophanales; Bacillaceae.